UUUGACCAUUCGUCUUGUGUAAACUUUUUUACGAUUAAUAUUUUUAUUAUUACUAGAUGAUAAAAUAUGAAUAAUACUUUAUACGUGACUAAUUUUUUUAGGUUUUUUAUAAAUUUUUCAAAUAAGACGAAUUAUCAAA
Molecule: microRNA precursor, 139 nt
Filed under: Oryza brachyantha (malo sina)
Lineage: Eukaryota; Viridiplantae; Streptophyta; Magnoliopsida; Poales; Poaceae
Description: MIR812 microRNA precursor family
Rfam family: MIR812 microRNA precursor family
Source: Rfam by way of RNAcentral